GUGCUCCCUUCAGCAGCACAUAUACUAAAAUUGGAACCAUACAGAGAAGAUUAGCAUGGCCCCUGCACAAGGAUGACAUGCAAAUUCGUGAAGCGUUCCAUAUAUUU
This 107-nucleotide small nuclear RNA is filed under the name Jaculus jaculus (lesser Egyptian jerboa). The record is from RNAcentral. Lineage: Eukaryota; Metazoa; Chordata; Mammalia; Rodentia; Dipodidae.